AUAAAGUAAAACCAGGGCAAGCUCAUGAUGAAAAGAGAAUUCAUCUUCACUGGAGAGUGGAAUCAGCUUGAGGUAUCCCGUAGACUUCCCUUCUAUGAUGUCAUAAACCAGCCCCCGAGAAGGAGGAGUUUUACAAAUGUUCAAAUCUGUUAGGAAGGAAGGAUCAAGUGGCCCCCGACAGCUCCCGAGCGGAGGCAGAGCCCCCAGGCUCUACCUCCUGAGGCCCAGUCGUGCUCUCCCAAGCAUGCCUCUCUGGGAUCUGGGGAGGUUCCCGAGAGCUGGACUUUUAACUGCAGACUUGGCCCCACUUUUCCUAGUGGAUGACCUUCAGAUGCUGCUGCCUGGACCUGAGUAAUGAUGGCAUUCUCUCUUACUCCAGAGCUCAACUGUGCAUACCUGGACUAGGAUUCUGGAAAACUCUGUGCCUUUUAUUCAUUCUUGGCUAGAGAUCAUAGUCAGCACAUGGAUUAUCCUGUAGAAAUGUCAUCUCUUAAAGACGCAGUCCACUUAGACAAUGUCCUUUUCCCUGCGUCAGGUUUUCUGUGGCCUCCAGGGCCCCGCAUGAGUGCCACAACUGUCAACACACAGCGUGAGGAUGUGUGCUGCCUGUGGAAGUGUUUGUCUGAGCUGCAGCCCUGGUGUUCUUGGUUCUGGGACACACAUCGCGUGAAGACCUCUGUGGAACUGAAGCGUGCUGCAAGCUCACUAGAGCAGUCUGUUGGGGGGAUGUUGGCCUCCUUGGCUUGGAUACACCCGCGGUCUCAGCCUCUAAAAGCACUGACAAGCAGUACAAGGGACUCCUUCUCUCCUUCCUCUGCCAGUUGCCCCUGUCCAUCCAGAUGACAGCCUUCCAGCUCCAGCCAGGGCCCUCCCCUUCCUUUCCUGCCACCACCUUGACUCCUAGCCCAUGGCAUUCAAACACAGGUGAUUUUCUUGGCCACCUCAGAUAACCAAAGUGAUAGGAAAACUGGAUUUCUCCCUGAGGACCUGGCCCCUCAUUACCCCUGUCUAUAGCGUUACACUCCAGAGACCCUAACCCAGCCUUAACCACCAGCAAUUGGCUACACUGCACAGCAGUGCACUGGCCUCUGGCCCUGCCCUGCCAUCAUUUCUCCACCUCUCACUGCCUGUUCUCCUAAAGUGCCCAGUGGCUUUGUGCUGGCUGCUGGGAGAGCAGCUACCAAAUUUUCACCCUUAGGUGCUAAUGACAGAAGGUGUAGCAUCUCCCAAGACUUUGGAGUCCAAAAAGGAACUUGAAGGAGAGAGAAAUUACUAAUGAUGAGUUUUCCAGUUCACUGGCAUGUGAGUGUGGAAAGGUUGAUUCGUCCCUCUCCAGUCACAUGUGUGGAGGCUCACUCACUCUGUGUGGGUCCGGGCCUUCAAGCUCUAGUGUUUUCUGAGCGCCCCUUCCACGUCAGGCCCCCAUCUGGGCUCUUUCCUUCAUGCAAUAACGUUAAGCCCCGUGAGGCAGGUGUUAUCAUCCUUAUUGUCCAGAUGAAAUGUGCGUACCUUAGGAACUAAAUGACUUCUCCCAAAUCACGCAGCUGCGGGCAGCAGAAGCAGGUUUCACACCCAGAUUUCUGAUGCAAACCCCAGUGAUGAUUCUCUCUGGAAGCUCAGUUCGAGCCCCUUCUAUCCAGGUCUGUCCUCACCACCCCGUCUUCCGUUUCCCUCCCCAGGUCUCUGGUCCACCCCAGAGGGGAGACUGGCAGGAGAUAAGCUUUAUUCAUUUCCGAUCCCUAAUUCUUGGAACAUACCAAACCCUUGGUGAAUUUUGCUGAAUAAAAGGGCAUUAGAAUCCAGUUGGCAAACAGGUAUUAGUUUCCUGUGGCUGCUAUAACAAAUUGCCUCCAAUCUUGUAGCUUAAAACAGUAUAGAUUUAUUAUCUCACAGUUCUGAAGACCAGAAAUUCAAAAUCAGUUUCACUGGGCCAAAAUCUAGGUGUUGGCAGGACUAUGUUCCUUCCAGAAGAUCUCAGGGAGAAUCUGUUCAUUGCUUCUUCCAGCUUCUGGUGGCCACUGGCAUUCCUCAGCUUGUGGCCAUAUCAGUCCAAUCUCUGCCUCUGUGGUCACAACUUCUCCUCCCCUGUGAGUGUUUCAAUUCUUCCUCUGCUUCCUUCUUACAAGGAUAUUUGUGAUUGCACUGGGACCCAUCCAGAUAAUCCUGGAUCAUCUCCUCACGUCAAGAUCCUUAAUUACUUCUGCAAGGACUUCGCCAUAUAAGAGGGAUGGCAUGCCCACAGGUCAGCCGCCCUGGCCUUCAGCAGGAGCAGCAUCCCCGCCUCCAAGAGAACAAGCUCUGUUCACAGUCUCUCCACCACUUCCCAGUGGGAUGAUAUGGGACUAUGAUCCCAGCACCCCCAGGCCUCGAUUCCCUCACCUGUAAAAUGGGAAUAAUCAAAGUACCUGCCACCUAGCUUUGUCAUGAGGGCUACAGGACCGUGUGCCUGAGAUAUGUUCAGACAUCUUAGAACCUGUUUCUAUUGUUGGCGAAGUCUCCUUGGAGCUCUGAGAUCUGUGGGGGAAAUCCAUGCUUUUCAAAGAUUCCCUGAUUCGUUCUUAAUUAUUCAGCAGUAUCCCUGACACGUCAGUGGCCCAGGAAUGAAUGAAAACAAAAGGUCAAGGAAACUUCCCUUUGUGGUCACAUUUAUCUUUUGAUAACAUUGGAUUUACUCUGAGAAAACCACUCAGUCAUGCAAGAUGCUUUCUUCUCUCUGAGAGCAAGUACGCGCAAAAUGAGGAAGGAAGUCUGCUUUCACUACUUCUAAGUGACCUUCGAGUGACACUCUGAGCACCAGCGUGCUUGGGAAGGUGGCAGAGAAGCCCAGAGUCUUCUCUUUCAUGCUAGGCUGUGUGGCACAAGUCGUUUCCCUUCUGUAGGCCGAAGUUGGGAUUUUCUUCCUUAACAGAAAAGAGAAUCUGACAGAUCAGAUUUAGUUAGAUCCAAACAAAUAAAAGGAGAUGGAAGCCUUCACUAUUGACAUUUAAAAUCCUUCCUUAGCUACAGUCAGCACUUGCCUCUCUCUGCCCGCCAGAAUAGUGAGAGAGUGGCUCCUCCACAUGCCGUUGGUGAAACCUGGCUGAGAAGGGCUCCUGCGCAGACUUGCCGUGGCCUUUGUCGUGGACACAUCAAAAUCACCACGGCAGCCGUGGAGCAGCUGCUGCUCCUCCCUUCAUCGUGGUCUGAGGGCUCAUGCCUUCUCCCACCACUUGGCAUCACAAUUACCAUGCGUGUCUGUGUGUCUGUGGUAGGUGAGAACCCCAUCCUCAGGUCCUUUGCUGUGGGCUCGCACAGCACCUCCCUCCAGAGUGGGUGGAGUACCUUUCCCCGUCCUUGGGAUGCUAGGCUUGGCCAGAGGAGCAGAUUCAAACCCAAUGUGCAGUCCACAGGCGAGCUCAGCCAAACCCAGCCAAGAAGAGUUGAAACCCAGCCAACCUACCAGUCUGUGGUGACAUGGAGGCUGACACAGAGUGACUGUCGGCAGCCGGAACUCAGCCACAGGCAUCUCCCUCCUGGACCAGCACACUCGCCAAAACGGCCUGCAUUUCUCCUGUGGAACAGCCCUCAGCACUGAUCCUUGGCGCGGCUUUCCUCUCUGUGGCCCUGGGGGGCUAUAUUCUCCAGCUAAGCGCUAAGAGGGUAGCCAGAGAGCAUUCUCAAGGCUUCCAACAAACCAAGAGGGUACUAAUGGAAACAGAGAGGUGGGAGAGAGAGGAAAAGAGCAGAGACACGGAAUGUAUUCUGGUCACUUUCUCUCCUUCGGUGUAAUGGGAGUCUGUACUGGGAGGCCCCAGAGUGGGUCCUGGGAAGGGUAGCUUCAUGGUUGAGUGCAAACCUUGGAUUUAGGUUUCAACAUAAAUACAGGCCCGGUGAACAGCCAGCACCGGCAUCUGGCUGGGGUGGACCUUGUCAGUGCCUGAGGAAGACUACACCCAGUCCUAGAGACUAGCCAUCAAAGGGCAGGCAGAGGAGGAAAGCAAAUCCAGGCGUGCCUGCCCGCGUUCCAGUGAACGACAUUGUUGUAAACUCUCCAGAACAUGACUCGAGGAGAAAACGGCGACGUGCAUUGUGAAACAAAAGGUGCACGUUUUGUGUGCUUGUUCUGCAGUAACAUAAAAUAUGUCUUUUAAAUUGAAUGUGGAAAGGACAAUAGGGUGGACUGAGGGACAUUCUCAGGACCAGCGUUCCCUCAAGUAGGUGCACACCCUCAAGGCAAAGCUCAAGACAGCCCUUUGCUUGAAAAACAAGCCAUGGGUUGUCUGAGUCUGGCUGCAGAAAAUCCUGGGACCGUGCUGGACACCGCGGGCAGGAGGGCGGAGGGGCUGACUGAGGAAAGCUGCCCUCGCACCACCCUUGCAGUUGUUGGGGCCAAGGGAGGAAAGGCUGCGACUGCGGUGGCCCCCAGGCGGCCGGUGCUGGGCAGCCGAAAGGAGAGGAGAACCCGCCACGCACAAACACCGUGACCCGCGGGUCCGAACGCGCCCGGGAGCCUUCCUACGCAGCAUAGAGAUGGCAAAGGAGCUCAGGCAGAGCCAGAAACUAACGUGGAGUUUCCUCCCUCUGCAGGAGUGCCUGGGGGUGCCAGGCAGCAGCAUGGCCAGCAGCCGGGGGCACAAGUCCCCAGGCCCCAAGGAGGGUGGGGGAGGCUCAGCCCAGCACCCACCAUGGUGGACAGCGAGACAGAAGCGAGUCCAUUUGUAAACACGUAACUGACACUUUCACUUUUGUAUGUGGGGAAAAUGUUUAGAGAUUUAUCUGAAGGGAGAGGGUGAUGCUCCAGACCAUAUGUUCCGCACACAAAGCAACCAAAAAGCUGAAGGACCAGCACAAACUGCUUGACUGCAGAUCAGGCCUCGUGGAGAAGCCUGACUGGUGUCGAGAUGGGGAGCCCACUGGGCCAGAUGGAAGCAUUUGACCAGGUACUCCAGCUCCAACGAGCGACGGUCCAGUGUACACACUUGGACCACAAUUGUACUGCUAAAUAGAAUGAG
RNAcentral lists this long non-coding RNA (4991 nucleotides) under Equus caballus (horse). Its description in RNAcentral is "lncRNA (ENSECAG00000041485.2)". Lineage: Eukaryota; Metazoa; Chordata; Mammalia; Perissodactyla; Equidae. The record is from RNAcentral.